This 239-nucleotide unclassified non-coding RNA is filed under the name Hevea brasiliensis (rubber tree). The record is from RNAcentral. Lineage: Eukaryota; Viridiplantae; Streptophyta; Magnoliopsida; Malpighiales; Euphorbiaceae.
AUAUUCUUCGGCUCCAUAUUUCCUUUUAGUACUUCAAGUACCAUAUAGACAAAUCUCUCUCUCCGUUUUUUAAGAUGAAAAGAGUUGAAGCCCAUAACAAAUUAAACGCUGGCUCAUUUGUGGGCGUAACUUCGUAGGUUUAUAUACACAAGCCGCAACACAAUAAAUCAUUCGAAUCAUUUCAUCUUUUAUCAUAUUUUUUCAUUAACUUCACAUCAAAAAGAUCUUUACAAUUCUUU